RNAcentral lists this ribosomal RNA (126 nucleotides) under Exophiala sp. RNAcentral's name for it is "partial large subunit ribosomal RNA". It matches the Rfam family "Eukaryotic large subunit ribosomal RNA", at positions 99 to 224 of the family's 3401-position model. Lineage: Eukaryota; Fungi; Ascomycota; Eurotiomycetes; Chaetothyriales; Herpotrichiellaceae. The record is from RNAcentral.
CGGCAACAGCUCAAAUUUGAAAUCUGACUUCUUUGAGGUCCGAGUUGUAAUUUGUAGAGGAUGUUUCGGGCACCGCUUCAGUUUAAAUUUCUUGGAACAGAAUGUCAAAGAGGGUGAGAAUCCCGU